CCUACGGGCGGCAGCAGUGAGGAAUAUUGGUCAAUGGGCGGGAGCCUGAACCAGCCAAGCCGCGUGAGGGAAGAAGGUACAGCGUAUCGUAAACCUCUUUUGUCAGGGAACAAAGGCGGGACUAGUCCCCGGAUGAGGGUACCUGAAGAAAAAGCAUCGGCUAACUCCGUGCCAGCAGCCGCGGUAAUACGGAGGAUGCGAGCGUUAUCCGGAUUUAUUGGGUUUAAAGGGUGCGCAGGCGGCCUGUUAAGUCAGCGGGAAAAGCCCGGGGCUCAACCCCGGCGAGCCGUUGAAACUGGCGGGCUGGAGUUGGAGAGAAGUACGCGGAAGGCGAGGUGUAGCGGUGAAAUGCUUAGAGAUCGCGCAGAACCCCGAUUGCGAAGGCAGCGUACCGGCUCCACACUGACGCUGAGGCACGAAAGCGUGGGUAUCGAACAGGAUUAGAUACCCGGGUAGUC
Molecule: ribosomal RNA, 458 nt
Filed under: uncultured bacterium
Lineage: Bacteria
Description: partial 16S ribosomal RNA
Rfam family: Bacterial small subunit ribosomal RNA
Source: RNAcentral